AGUUUGACUAGCCAAUCAGAGCGCGCCUUCAACGCUAUCCCCUGUUUUAGUAUAUACUAAUAAAAGAUAAUCUACACAAGAUUUUUCAUAUGAAGACAAACCUAUUAGUGACGGACCUUCAGCCAAUCUGUUUGGGGUAUAUCUUGGGAAACAACCCUACAGACUGCCCAAAUCAGGUGAUUAUAAAAGCAGGGAGGAAACACAUGAAGGGACUGGAGAGAGCAAAGUCUACAUGAAAUAAGCCAGCUGGCAUUUUAUAGGGCACUUGAACAGCACCUCAUCACUUGGCUGCUAGAUACCCAAAGAGACAACCAGCAACUUGAUAUAAUUAUUACACAUGAUAAUAAACACC
This 352-nucleotide long non-coding RNA is filed under the name Stylophora pistillata. RNAcentral's name for it is "uncharacterized LOC111347281, transcript variant X3". Lineage: Eukaryota; Metazoa; Cnidaria; Anthozoa; Scleractinia; Pocilloporidae. The record is from RNAcentral.